UCAGCUGUGGGGCCACUGAAGACGGGAUCCGUGAUGACCUCCACCAUGGGCUGGUCCCCACUCCUCUUGACCCUCCUAGCUCACUGCACAGGUUCCUGGGCCCAGUCUGUGCUGACUCAGCCGGCCUCAGUGUCUGGGUCCCUGGGCCAGAGGGUCACCAUCUCCUGCACUGGAAGCAGCUCCAACAUCGGUAGAUAUUCUGUGAGCUGGCUCCAGCAGCUCCCGGGAACAGGCCCCAGAACCGUCAUCUAUAGUAGUAGUAACCGACCCUCAGGGGUCCCCGAUCGAUUCUCUGGCUCCAAGUCAGGCAGCACAGCCACCCUGACCAUCUCUGGGCUCCAGGCUGAGGAUGAGGCUGAUUAUUACUGCUCAACAUAUGACAACAGUCUCAAUGCUGGCACAGUGCUCCAGGCCUGUGAGGAAGUGAGACAAAAACCUACUUACCCGACGGCAAAGCCUCUGCUCUCAGGACAGGCCAAGGCUCACUGCGUCCUAGGUAUGAGGCACAAAGCUGUGGGGAUGCUGGUGUCCUGGGCCCAGGCUGUGCUGACUCAGCCACCCUCAGUGUCUGCGGCCCUGGGACAGAGGAUCACCAUCUCCUGCACUGGAAGCAGCACCAACAUCAGCAGUGGUUAUGAUGUACAAUGGUACCAGCAGCUCCCAGGAAAGUCCCCUAAAACUAUCAUCUACGGUGAUAACAAUCGACCCUCGGGUGUCCCAGAUUGA
This is a non-coding RNA of Nyctereutes procyonoides (raccoon dog), 726 nucleotides long. Lineage: Eukaryota; Metazoa; Chordata; Mammalia; Carnivora; Canidae. The record is from the annotation of a RefSeq genome assembly.